This is a long non-coding RNA of Lagopus leucura (white-tailed ptarmigan), 1028 nucleotides long. RefSeq lists it as uncharacterized. The transcript is spliced from 6 exons. Lineage: Eukaryota; Metazoa; Chordata; Aves; Galliformes; Phasianidae. The record is from RefSeq and is a predicted model, not a curated record.
GAGCGCGGCCGCGGGAGGUGCCCUGCCCGGGGGGCACCGAGCUGUCUUUAACGCUGUUCGGUAUUUUUAUUUAUUUGUUUGUUUGUUUAAAUUCUCCCCGUGCGAUAAAUCGUGUGUGCGUUGCUGAGGGAGGUGUCUGAAGCGCUAUGGGAAGCACAAGCAGGACAGAAAUUCCAGCAGGGGAGCCAGUGUGAACGCAGUUUUGAAGACAUUGAUCCCUUCCUAGGAUGGUAGAGGAAGGAAAGUAGGCACGUGCUUUGGAUACCAAUAUGUGAAACUGCAUGAUUGUUAAUGAUAUCAGUACAAAGAGCAAGACUAGAAGUCUGAAGCAAGUCCCAGUCUGUGAGAUUCUUCUUAUCAUCUGCCGCUACAAUGAACACAGGGCUACUGAAGGACCAACUGCCCAACAUCUCUUGUAGUAGUUGAGAUCUACCAAGAUGAUCAAGUCAGUUCUACAUUGCUACUUACUGAUGACUUUUUUGCUAAUCUGUCACGUACAACUCAGAAAAGAAUUUGUUUUUUACUCCAUAAAGUUUACACCAGUGUUUCCAGAGAUCUCAGUAACUCAAAGCUUCUGGUUAAAAAAAAGUGACACUGGACAAACUUUAAGUAUCUUUGAAUUUGCUUAGCCAGGAAAAUGAAAUUGACCCUGAUACUCUUACAGUCUAAAUCAAGUGUUAAAGAAUAAAGAACUGAAAGAGGGAGCUGCUGCAUCCUCAAAGGCUUUUAAUGGAUCGUUGCCCCCCCGUCAGAAUCAAAGACACAGAGAAGUGAAGUGUUGUGAUCAAAGACGUACAUCAUGUGUCUGAAAUGGAAUCCAGGAAAUGCAAAUUCAACUGGCACAAAGGACUGUCACCUCUUUGCUCUGGUUAUGUGCAUCUCUAAAUUAGCUGUUAGAUAAUUUUGCCACUUCGCUGAACUUUUGCCCAUUGUGCACUGAAGGCAUUUAUUCUUCCUUGUCCAGGAAGAAAGGCUUUAGUAGUAGUUAUGAAGAUAAAAGAGAGAAUAAAGCUCCCAUGCUAAUCUUA